Molecule: small nucleolar RNA, 202 nt
Organism: Xenopus laevis (African clawed frog)
Lineage: Eukaryota; Metazoa; Chordata; Amphibia; Anura; Pipidae
Product: small nucleolar RNA SNORA74
Exons: 1
Source: RefSeq, a predicted model, not a curated record
GCCAGAAUUGGUCACCUGUCCAGUGUUUUUCAAUUACUGUGAUAGCGUUACACUUCUGAGAGAUAAAGACACGGCUUUUCUUGCUCAGUGUUAAUGUCAUUGUUCUAGUGAAUUGUCAUUGGCUUUGGGCAGUAUUUGGCGUCUUAGAGAGUGCGCCCAAAACUAGCUUUGGCUGUUGGGUGCUAGACUGGAAGCAUACACU